GCGGUGGAGCAUGUGGUUAAUUCGACGCAACGCGAAGAACCUUACCAGGGCUUGACAUCCCUGACAACCCGAGAGAUCGGGCGUUCCCCUUCGGGGGACAGGGUGACAGGUGGUGCAUGGUUGUCGUCAGCUCGUGUCGUGAGAUGUUGGGUUAAGUCCCGCAACGAGCGCAACCCUCGACCUUAGUUGCCAGCAUUCAGUUGGGCACUCUAAGGUGACUGCCGGCUAAAAGUCGGAGGAAGGUGGGGAUGACGUCAAAUCAUCAUGCCCCUUAUGACCUGGGCUACACACGUGCUACAAUGGGCGGUACAAAGGGUCGCGAACCCGCGAGGGGGAGCCAAUCCCAAAAAGCCGCUCUCAGUUCGGAUUGCAGGCUGCAACUCGCCUGCAUGAAGCCGGAAUCGCUAGUAAUCGCGGAUCAGCAUACCGCGGUGAAUACGUUCCCGGGCCUU
This 452-nucleotide ribosomal RNA is filed under the name uncultured Anoxybacillus sp. RNAcentral's name for it is "bacterial SSU rRNA". It matches the Rfam family "Bacterial small subunit ribosomal RNA", at positions 929 to 1382 of the family's 1533-position model. Lineage: Bacteria; Bacillati; Bacillota; Bacilli; Caryophanales; Anoxybacillaceae. The record is from RNAcentral.